This 465-nucleotide ribosomal RNA is filed under the name Vreelandella stevensii. Its description in RNAcentral is "partial 16S ribosomal RNA". It matches the Rfam family "Bacterial small subunit ribosomal RNA", at positions 338 to 795 of the family's 1533-position model. Lineage: Bacteria; Pseudomonadati; Pseudomonadota; Gammaproteobacteria; Oceanospirillales; Halomonadaceae. The record is from RNAcentral.
CCUACGGGGGGCUGCAGUGGGGAAUAUUGGACAAUGGGCGAAAGCCUGAUCCAGCCAUGCCGCGUGUGUGAAGAAGGCCUUCGGGUUGUAAAGCACUUUCAGUGGGGAAGAAAGCCUUGGGGCUAAUACCCUCGAGGAAGGACAUCACCCACAGAAGAAGCACCGGCUAACUCCGUGCCAGCAGCCGCGGUAAUACGGAGGGUGCGAGCGUUAAUCGGAAUUACUGGGCGUAAAGCGCGCGUAGGCGGUCUGAUAAGCCGGUUGUGAAAGCCCCGGGCUCAACCUGGGAACGGCAUCCGGAACUGUCAGGCUAGAGUGCAGGAGAGGAAGGUAGAAUUCCCGGUGUAGCGGUGAAAUGCGUAGAGAUCGGGAGGAAUACCAGUGGCGAAGGCGGCCUUCUGGACUGACACUGACGCUGAGGUGCAAAAGCGUGGGUAGCAAACAGGAUUAGAUACCCCUGUAGUC